CCUCUAGAAGAUGAAGAACUGGUGGAAUAUAUUCUCAUCGGGCUAGAUGAAGAAUAUGACUCGGUGGUUUCCUUGGUCCUUGCUCGAUCUGAGUCAGUUUCUGUAAGCGAGCUGUGCUCCCAGCGGCUCGUGUUUGAGA
RNAcentral lists this small nucleolar RNA (139 nucleotides) under Dichanthelium oligosanthes. RNAcentral describes it as "Small nucleolar RNA Z247". It matches the Rfam family "Small nucleolar RNA Z247". From Rfam's summary of the family: Z247 is a member of the C/D class of snoRNA which contain the C (UGAUGA) and D (CUGA) box motifs. Most of the members of the box C/D family function in directing site-specific 2'-O-methylation of substrate RNAs. The record is from Rfam by way of RNAcentral. Lineage: Eukaryota; Viridiplantae; Streptophyta; Magnoliopsida; Poales; Poaceae.